Molecule: small RNA, 103 nt
Filed under: Otolemur garnettii (small-eared galago)
Lineage: Eukaryota; Metazoa; Chordata; Mammalia; Primates; Galagidae
Description: Y RNA (ENSOGAG00000020373.1)
Source: RNAcentral
GGCUCCUCUGAGUCCAGUGUUUACAAGUAACUGUCUGACGGCCAUCAGUUCCAGAUUCCUUGGCCCCUUCUCCACGUCCACUGCUUCACUUGACGAGCCUAAA